UUAAAAGCUGUGAUGAGAAGAAGUAAAAAUAUAAAUUCUUUUAAAGAGAGCUUCUGGUUGGUGAAAAGAAGAAAAGAAAGAUAUUUUGAAUACAUCUCUGAGCGGAGCACCGAAUCCUUAUUUAAGGUAGUAGAUUGUUUUCGGAAUCCCUGCACCCGUUAUAGUGCUAGAGUAUAGAAACUAUUUUUAGUUUAGUACUUGAAAAGGUUAGGUAUGGUGACAUAUCUAAUAAAACGAGGUGGUACCACGUGAGUAUAACUCCCGUCCUCUAG
Molecule: regulatory RNA element, 272 nt
Organism: Clostridium botulinum A str. ATCC 3502
Lineage: Bacteria; Bacillati; Bacillota; Clostridia; Eubacteriales; Clostridiaceae
Rfam family: T-box leader
About the family: Uncharged tRNA acts as the effector for transcription antitermination of genes in the T-box leader family.
Source: Rfam